AAUAAACACAAGUAAUUUGUGUAACACAAUUUCUGUCAUUUAUCUUUGCCAUGUCUCAUCGAGUCAAGCAAAUCGUGUUUUCCUCGUUCUAUGUUCAGUAAGCCAUAACACAAAAGGAUGGUUAUGUCACUGGGUACUCAACGUCACCCCAUUCAAUUGUAUUGCGGGUGCAUUCAUUCUUGUGAAACCAAACUAGCAAGUUGUGCUGAAAUUCAGGACAUUCAUACAGCACGAAGAGGGUGGACGUGCGCUACACUAACUCUUAAAGUCUCUGCCGACCAUACUAUUCAUUACUGCAAGCAACAGCAAACAUCUGUGUACAUCACUUCCUGUACUAAUUCUACAUGUGAAGUGCGGCUGAAGAAACUGCAUUUCAACUUCGAAACGCAACCCUGGUGCAACUCGAAUUGUGAAAGUGAUGUUUAACAAUGCCGUUGCCUGGAAUAAAUUAGUAAAGGAACCAUUGCGCUAUCACCGAACAACAGGAUUGGAUUGGUAAACACAAUUUCCUGCAUUUAGUUGGACAACGACACAUGACACAAAACACGCCUCCCAGGCUGUAAGGGCUAUUUUAUCAAGGAGAGUGAUGGACUGCUUCAUCAGAUGACCUGGCCUCCACAAUUUCC
Molecule: long non-coding RNA, 626 nt
Organism: Oncorhynchus tshawytscha (Chinook salmon)
Lineage: Eukaryota; Metazoa; Chordata; Actinopteri; Salmoniformes; Salmonidae
Source: Ensembl